GUCUUGCACGACUGUUGUGCACUCAUAGACCACUGCACAUGCCUUGCACACCCCUUUGUGCACACCCAGAUCACCGCACCCCCCUUGCACACGUCUUGCACGACUGUUGUGCACUCAUAGGCCACAACACACGCCUCGCACAUGCCUUACACAUGCCUUGCAUGGCUGUUGUGCACACACAGACCACCACACAUGGCUUUCACACACAGAUCACAGCACACGCCUUGCACUUAUGUCACACGUGCACGCCUGUUGUGCACUCACAGACCACAGCACACCCUUCACACACGCCUUGCAUAUGCCUUGCACGAUUGUGCACUCACAGAUCACAGCACACUCCUUGUGCACACCUUGUACGACUGUUGUGCACUCACAAGCCACAGCACAUGCCUCGCACACGUCUUGUACAAGCCUUGCACACGCAGCUCAGUCACCUCACGUUUCACCCCUUGCACAUCCUCACACACUUCUCAUGCACCUCAGAGGCCUUGCACACUCCUUGCGUGUGUGUCACGUGCUGUGCACGUGUCACACAAAGCAGUUUUGCACAGACAUGUUGCACGCCUGUGGCUCAUGCAUGGCACACGUGCAUUCACAGAGCACAGCACAUGCCUUGCACGUGUAUCACGCUUGCAUUGUGCAUCUCUUUUGCAUGUCUGCGACUCCUACACGUGGCCCACCCGCCUUACACGACUGUUGUGCACUCACAGAAAACAGCACGAGCCUCGCACGUGCCUCGCACAUGCUUUGCACGACCCUUGUGCAAUCACAGACCACAGCACACCCUCCAUACAAGCCUCACCCACGCCUCGCACACACCUCGCACAACUGUUGCGCGUUCGAAGCCGACGGCACACACUCACACGUGCCUUGCACAACUAUUGUGCGCUCACAGACCACAGCACAACCCUCACACACGCCUUGCACGUGCCUCCGGGGCCCGUUGUGCACACCCCCGCCGCAGCGCGCCCCUCGCACACGCUUCGCACACCCCUCGCACGGCUGUUGUGCGCUCACGGACCAGAGCGCGCGUGUUUCACGCGCACGGCAAGGCACAGCACCCCCAUUGCCCCCCCC
RNAcentral lists this long non-coding RNA (1077 nucleotides) under Calidris pugnax (ruff). RNAcentral describes it as "lncRNA (ENSCPUG00000018191.1)". The record is from RNAcentral. Lineage: Eukaryota; Metazoa; Chordata; Aves; Charadriiformes; Scolopacidae.